AGAGUUUGAUCAUGGCUCAGAACGAACGCUGGCGGCAUGCCUAACACAUGCAAGUCGUGCGAGAACUAGGGGCUUGCUCCUAGUGAAAGCGGCGCACGGGUGAGUAACGCGUGGGUAACGUACCCAAGGGUUGAGGAUAACCUGCCGAAAGGCGGGCUAAUACUCAAUAUCCUUAUAGGAAGCGAGCUUCUUAUAGGGAAAGCUAGCAAUAGCGCCCAUGGAUCGGCCCGCGUCCUAUCAGUUUGUUGGUGAGGUAAUGGCUUACCAAGACUAUGACGGGUAACUGGUCUGAGAGGACGACCAGUCACACUGGGACUGAGACACGGCCCAGACUCCUACGGGAGGCAGCAGUGGGGAAUAUUGGACAAUGGGCGAAAGCCUGAUCCAGCAAUGCCGCGUGGGUGAUGAAGGCCUUCGGGUUGUAAAGCCCUGUCGGCGGGAACGAAAAAAUCGGUGUUGAGCCGAUCUUGACGGUACCCGCAAAGGAAGCACCGGCUAACUCUGUGCCAGCAGCCGCGGUAAUACAGAGGGUGCAAGCGUUGUUCGGAAUUACUGGGCGUAAAGCGCAUGUAGGCGGUCUAGUUAGUCAGAUGUGAAAUCCCUGGGCUUAACCCAGGAACUGCAUCUGAUACUGCUAGACUUGAGUGUCGGAGGGGAUGGCGGAAUUCCUGGUGUAGAGGUGAAAUUCGUAGAUAUCAGGAGGAACACCUGUGGCGAAGGCGGCCAUCUGGAAGACAACUGACGCUGAGAUGCGAAAGCGUGGGGAGCAAACAGGAUUAGAUACCCUAGUAGUCC
RNAcentral lists this ribosomal RNA (795 nucleotides) under uncultured bacterium. RNAcentral's name for it is "bacterial SSU rRNA". It matches the Rfam family "Bacterial small subunit ribosomal RNA", at positions 8 to 796 of the family's 1533-position model. The record is from RNAcentral.